This 656-nucleotide long non-coding RNA is filed under the name Salvia miltiorrhiza (redroot sage). RNAcentral's name for it is "long non-coding RNA (SMIL_LNC002436)". Lineage: Eukaryota; Viridiplantae; Streptophyta; Magnoliopsida; Lamiales; Lamiaceae. The record is from RNAcentral.
UACAACAAGAAAACUGUAACAAUAUAAUCAACGAAAUGACUGUUGUCUCAUUUAUUCAUCAUACAUAAUUGUUCUACCACAAAAGUUUUAUUACAUUAUUAGAAAAAGAAAAAGACAAGAACAGACAGUCUGGACGAGGACACAACACAACACACACACAUACAUUUACAUGUAUAUGUAUAUAUGUAUGUAUCCCAUUAAUUUGAUGAAAGCUUAACCAAUGACAGGAACAACGACGACGAUGCCAUCAGCGUCAACGAAAACCCGCACACGGUUGCAAAAGAAAGGGCCACCGACGGGUUGAUUUAUAGGAAGAAUGAAGGCUGUCACCAACGAGUUCUCUUUCUCGAUCACCUUCACAGCCACUCGCCGGAAACCCCACCAGCUCCGCCACGAAUAUUCCCUAUACAUAUAUAUAUACAUACAUAAAAUUAGUUUAAUAUGAGAAGCUGCAUGCAUAUAUCUGUACAUAUCGACGUAUUAUAUUACCUUGACAAAUACUCAUCCUUGAUCACAGCAAAUUUAACUGAUCCUUAAAUUUGUGAAAUAGAAAUGGUUUGUGUUGUUUCUACUGCUAGCCAAAGAGAGUAUUUAUAAGGUAAAAAUGCAAUGUUCACAACGUGCAUGACAAAAUGUGGAUUAUCUUGUUUCUCUAU